GAAAAAGUAUGCAAGAACUGCUAACUCAUGCUUCCAUGUGUAAAUACAUGGCUCUUUCA
This 59-nucleotide transfer RNA is filed under the name Phataginus tetradactyla (long-tailed pangolin). RNAcentral's name for it is "Manis tetradactyla (long-tailed pangolin) tRNA-Ser". Lineage: Eukaryota; Metazoa; Chordata; Mammalia; Pholidota; Manidae. The record is from RNAcentral.